CCCUCGCUGCCUGCCAUUGUUCCUCAAGCCAGCAAGCAAGAAGCACACAGGAAGCUCCUAGCCAACACCAAUCAAGGCCUCCAUCCAAUCCCAAGCAACCUCGAAUAUGUCUUGCUGCGGAGGAAACUGCGGAUGCGGCACCGCCUGCAAGUGCGGCAACGGCUGCGGUGGCUGCAACAUGUACCCCGAGGUUGAGGCCGCCGGCGCCACCCUCCUCGUCUCCGCCACUGCCACUCACAAGGGGUACGUCCCUUCUCUUGACAAAAUUUUCUCCACAGCUCAUACAUCAUCAUGCACUCGAUCUUUUUUUUUUGCGGGGUACGUGCAGGAGCUCCGGCGGCAUGGAGAUGGCGGCCGAGAACGGCGGCUGCGGCUGCACCCAGUGCAAGUGCGGCACCAGCUGCGGCUGCUCCUGCUGCAGCUGCUAGAUCAUUGAUCAUGCAUGCGCCGCGUGCAUCAUAUCUAUGAUCUACGUAUCCAUCUACUACCAUGUAAUGCCACCUGAUCGAGGGUCUUUGUAUGUAUGUAGUAUGUACGCACCUGCCUGCAUGAGCAGAGCGGGUGCCAUUCCAUGCAUGUAAACCCCUAAAUAAAAUCUCCCGUGGUUUUGCUUACAUCGUGUUGUUAGAUCCUCCUCCUAUUAGUGUUGCUUUCGGGUUCUUCUUAUGCACUAGCAGGAUCAGAGGCCGGUCUUUUGUUCUUGGUCUUCUCCUCAAACUGUCGUUUUCCUCUUCUCUAUGGUUCCAUGUGCGGCAGUAUUUUCUUCUUCUGUUGCCGAGUGUUGUAUCAGACUGUACCUUGUUUUGUGGUUUAUUCCUAUCCAUCUCGAAAUAUAGUGCAGGAAUUUAUUUGCAAAAGGUGGAUCUCAACAAGACACGACGGUAUGUGUAUCUUGCAGGAUUUAUUGAUCGGUCUAUCUUAUGCAUCUUAUUAAAAAAAUACAUUAAGGUCUCAUGGUCAAGCCAAAUUAUCAUUGUUUUUCCUUGCAUGCAAAAUGCAGCAAUAAAUCUUCGUCCUUGGCUUGUUUCUCAUUUCACUGCCUACGUUGCAGGUAUCCGACCCUGUUGGAAUCUCCUUUUCUGUCAUUGUGUUCACUUUCUGUGAUGUGAUGUGUGCGCAAAUAUUCCCACAACAACAACAUAAUAAUAAAGCCAUAUACGCAAGCAACCGAAUAAUGGCAAUGAUAUAUUACUGCUCAAGGCGCAUCUCCAAAUCAACCUGUCAUGUCCAUGGCUGCGUCUAAGCACUCGGGGCAGAAAUACUCACUCUCCGCCACUGAUUCAUAUCACCGAAUCCACACGGCCAAAUUACGUCCUCCAUGUUUUAAGCGAUGCCACUAUAUCUCGUGGGAAAAUUGUUUCCACAGUUCGAUAUCCCUCCCUUUGAUGAAAAAAUUCACGCUUGGCUUCUGCAUCACAGAGUGCAGAUAACGAAUAUUGUUUUCUAUGUUCUGAACUGGAACACUAUAUCUUGUGUAAAAAAUUGUGUCAACAAUAUCGAUAUUCCCUCCUAUAAAAUAAAAUCAUCAAUAGCUCACUUCUCUAUAUAACUGGAUGCAAAGUAAUGGGCGGUGUGGAGCACCCAAGACAGCACGCAAAAUAUCGGUGUUAUUUUAACUCCACUACGUAGACAAGUCACUAUAUUUACACAAUUAUGUAAGAAAAAGAGCUCUUUUAUGGUACCCUGUAUUGAAUAUUGACCGUCCAUCUGCAAAGAUCCAAUGGUGGGUACUUAUCUGUACUGGUGAAACUGGAUUAGCAGCAUCGCUAGUACCGCACGUCUCACGUCCACCGGUAUACUGCUCGGAGGGCAUUAUCGGUGACUCUGCAUCACCGGCAGCCGCCCGCCGGGGCUCGCCUCCUCUUCGCCCCCAUGCCCGCUGGGGCGCCUCCUCCCUGCCUUUAAUCCGCUGUGCUAUGCAUGCUUCUAUGGUUUUGGACUUCUGGCAUGGCACCGUGCGCCCCAUCCCCCUUCCACGCUACGGCCGCGAUGUUCUUUGCCGCCCCGCAUGGCUGAGCAGUGAGCACCUUAGCAUCGCGUUUAUUGUGUUGCCUCGUUCAUGACGACAGUGCAUGCCAAACCACCCUGCGUUGACGAUGAGGCCAGGAUGUGUACAACGUCGUGGUCUUCACGGAGAGCUGCGGCUACGAGAGUGCCGGAGCCUGGCGGAACCUCGCCUAUUUUGUGCUAACCAUGCCCUCGCUACGCUCAUGGCCGUCCUCCUUUAUUUUACUACCGCUUGCCUUCAUGAUCGAGCUCUUCAUGGCCUGGAUCACGCUUUACUUUAGCCUCAGCUUGCCGGACGUGGAGCAGCUACUCAUCUGCCUUUGCUGUGAGGUCGACGACCACGUCAUUGUUCAAAAGCUCACCCAGGCAGGGCUCAACAUACCUGUUUCCUCGUCGUCACCCCGCUGUCACAGACUCACAGGAGUGCACGAUGCAUUCCGAAAUAUUGAUUCGCCAGAGCAAUUCCCUUCACGAACACAAGAAGAGCUUUCACCGUCACAUAUACUGCUCCCUCCCCAGUAGCAGUAUAGGGUACCAUAAAAACCCUCAAGAAAAAUAAAUAACUCAGAGAACUGUCUGGCCAUAGAUGGAGCUUUCUACAGAUGGGGACAAGAAUUUGGCACCACCCACUCAAUUUCCCUCUCACCUUUUUGCAUUGCUUUCAUAUGUAAAAAAACAAAAACAAAAUAGUGAGUUGACUUGCGAUCUGCCUUAAAAUGACAAGAUGACGGUUGGGGGUUAAAAAAACAUUCAAAUGCAUUUUAUAUAUUCAUAUGUUUACUUAUUUUGUAUUUGUUUGUGCAUGUCAUAAAAAUCAUCAAUUUCCACAAGCAUACAUAAUACUCAAUGAUCUACAUUGACAAUAGGCUUUGAGAUUUUUCAACGCAUGACAAGAAAAAUCAAAUGAGGUCAGCUGGAAAUUAAAGAUCAGUUUUGACUUCCAAAAAAUUAUGAUCUCUUUUGUCCAAACUUAAAAGGAAUCAUUACAGAAAAUUUGGAGAUUCCAAUUGUUAGAAUAUUUUCCUACAGGACUAGUAGGGCUGGGAACCAUAAUGAUAUUUUCUAUGGCCUAAUUGACAUGUUUAUGUUGAGCCAAAUCUUUUGGAAAUAGUUUCGUUGAUUCAGUGACAACUAUGUGCUUGCACCUAACGCUUGAGAAAAUUCUUGUAUUUUUUCCCUCUUGCAAUAAAUCAACAUCCAUAUUUUACGCAUUUACUCCAUCUUCAAUUCCCACAGAAUUCAACACAGCAUGACCUGAAAUCUGUGUGUUAAGUUUUCCGGUUCCUGUCUUUUUAAAAUGCUGCAAAAGUAUGUGGCAUGUAAUCUUUAAAAAUAGUGGGAGUGUGAUAGUUAUUGAAAUGCAUGUAGGAUGGAAACUAAAAUUUCAGUAAAAUUCAGCUUAUAACACUAAAAUUGAAAAGGUUGCCAAGCCUAUGGCAACCAAGAGCCGCCAAGAUUUCUUAAAUAACAAAUAUUUUCGGCGACCUCCCCCAAAGAAGACAUAGCUUUUUCCUUGUCUUGACAUUCAAAAGCACUGAGUGAGGGGUAUCGGCUGAAUAUAUUCACUAAGGGCAUGCACAAAAGAGAGUUGACUAUUAUUAUUUUGCAAUGCUUUCAGAAUUUAGUUUGAUAUUGGUUUAAUUCAUAGUUCAUAAUUUACCGAGAAAUACCACUACGAGGUCAAGCACCCCUAAACUUGACCGUUAUGGCUGCAUGCAUCAAUGUAUGCCGAGGGCCGCGCGCGGGGGGUCUUGUUUGGAAAAUAAUAAUGAUCUUAUAGUGCAAUGAUUGGUCAUUGCCUAAGGUAUUUCCCUCUGUUCCAAGAUACAAGGUGUAUUUUUUAUUAAAAAAAACAAAAUUCCCUAUGUUUGACCAAAUUUAAAAUAAAACGUCUCUGUGUUUGGAAACCAUUUAUAUUUUUAUAAGCUCGAUCAAACAUAGAAGAUUUGACUUCAGAAAAAAAAAUAGUACAACUUAUAUUAUGAAACGGGAGUUAGUAGGUACACCAAUAAUUCGAUAUACGCACAAAAUGCUGGCUGUAGUUCCUUUCAUGGCUCCUUUGAUGUAAGAAAGAUGCUAGUAGAGACUAGAGACAAAGGGAAUCAAAUUAUGGGAGGAGGCGGCCCUAUCUAUAUUCCUCUUCCCCAAGCGGUUGCUCCCGUCCAUCCUUUGCCAAAAGUGGAGCAUCUCCCAUUUCCUUCUUCAUCUUCUCCUCCUCCUCCUUCCUUCGUAUUCACUCACCUAUAAAUAGCCCUCGCUGCCUGCCAUUGUUACUCAAGCCAGCAAGCAAGAAGCACAAAAGAAGCCAACACCAAUCAAGGCCUCCAUCCAAUCCCAAGCAACCUCGAAGAUGUCUUGCUGCGGAGGAAGCUGCGGCUGCGGCAGCGCCUGCAAGUGCGGCAACGGCUGCGGCGGCUGCAACAUGUACCCCGAGGUCGAGGCCGCCGGCGCCACCCUCCUCGUCGCCGCCACCGCCACCCACAAGGCGUACGUCCCUUCUCCUUCCUCAUAUAUCAUGCACUCGAUCGUAACAAUAUGACUGUAUGUUGAUCUUGGUAUGGGUGGGGUACGUGCAGGAGCUCCGGCGGCAUGGAGAUGGCGGCCGAGAACGGCGGCUGCGGCUGCACCCAGUGCAAGUGCGGCACCAGCUGCGGCUGCUCCUGCUGCAGCUGCUAGAUCAUCGGUCAUGCAUGCACCGCGUGCCUCAUAUCUAUGAUCUAUCUAUAUAUCCAUCUACCACCAUGUAACGCUACCUGAUCACGGUCUUUGUAUGUAUGUACGCACCUGCCUGCAUGAGCAGAGCAGGUGCCAUGCCAUGCAUGUAAACCCCUAAAUAAAAUCUCCCGUGGUUUAACCCCCUAUACAUGUGUUUGUGUUAUAGUCUUAUAGACCAACUUCUGGCCCAUGUUUACUAUGAACUUGCGACUUGCGAGGUGCCUGGGUUGUUAAUAGACCAGCUGGAUGCUCUCUUGAAGCAACGUAUGCACCGCUUGGAGUCGGUGUAUCUUUAUACACAUGUAUUUAUUUUACAGGUGUAUAUCAUCGGCCACACCUGGGAAAAAACGAUGGAUGGAGAAGUGUAAAUUUACAGGGGUAUUGCUCUGUGAAACGAGAAUCGAAUCAGGGCCUUAAGGGUAGGGAUGGCAAUGGGUAGGGUAUGGGCGCGUACGACUUUUUUCUGCCCAAACCCAUACCCAAAUCUUUUUUCUAUACCCAUCUAUUUCAAUAUCCAUGGACACAAAUUGGUACCCAUGCCCAUACCUAUCGGGUAUAUUAUACCCAAUGGAUAUCCAAUGGGUAUAGUAUCUAACAUUGGCAUGAUAAAGGUAAGCCAAGAAAAGGGCCUAAAACUAAAUUUAGGUACUCGGCCAUCACAAUCCGGUUUGCACUUACAUCAAAAUUUUACAAUGUGGAUUGACACACAAAUGUCUUAAUCUUCAUUACAAACUAACUUAAAAAAACAAGUUUCAAACUUGCAAUGCCAAUCACUGUAGGUAUUAUAGGGUUUAAUUUAUUUAUUAAUUUUUCUGGGUAUCCAUUAGGAUACCCAUGGGUAUAAUUUCAUACCCAUACCCUACCCAUGCAUUUUGCGGGUAUGGACACCCAUUACCCAUGGGUAUGAAGUAGUAAAAAGUCUUAUCCAUGCCCACUGUUUUCGGGUAGGGUACCCGCGGGUACCCAUACCCAUGGGCAAAACUGCCAUCCCUACUUAAGGGCGUUUGAUACAUGCGAAUAUUACUGGCCAAAGUUGAGUAUGAGAUACAUACAAUACAAACUUGACACUUUUGAAAGUCGUGCUAUCAAUCAUGAGACGCAUAGUUUAGCCAAAUUCUCGCUUAAUCUUUGUCAAAGGGUGUCACAUCUGGUUUGGCCAACCCCAUGAUCCGAUAUGUAUCCUACUCUCUGUGGUUUUCGAUGAAUAAAAUUUGGUUAAACCCUAAAAAAACUUAUUUGACGCGCCUUAGUUUUUUUCGAGAAUUUUUUUUAAAUCCGUUCAUCAAUCAUGGCAGUACAAAAAUCACAACCAGGUCCAUGAACCACCUAGCGACGACUACACUCACUGGAGCGAGCUAAACGUGCGCCGCCAUUAUCGCCCCUCCCUUACCGGAGUCGGACAAACCUUAUUGUAGUAGACAGUUGGAAAGUUAUCGUGCUAAGACCCUCAAGGACCACCGCACUGCAUAGCAACCAUCGUCGAUGAAAAGAGUUGUAGAUUGGAAAGAUCAAAGCUAUAACCACACAAGCGAAGACGAACAAAAAUGGAUCCAAUAGAUCCACCAAAGUCCAGCACGACAGAAUCCUGUGAGAUCCGGCGGGGACACACCUCCACAUGUCCUCCUCCGAUGUUAUUCGCACCACCGGGACGAGGAUCGGAUGUGGGAGACAUUAUUCCUACCCAGGGACAUCACUACCGUCACACAGCCCCAACCAAGACGUUAAACCUAACAAAAACGAGAACGGGUCCCUCCCGCUGCCGGGGGGCCAAGAUCCUCCGCACUCCGGGGAAUCGGCGCCGGCGGCAACGGGAUGAGAAAGGAAACUUUUCUUGAGAAGGAGGAAAGACAGACACAUACUGUUGUGUCUAAAUUACCGUGUCUUAGUUUGAUGUACUAUUUGCACCAGCUACUUCAUAACUAGAUUGCCAUGGUUGACGAUGGGUGUGUUCCCCUCUACUAAUAGUGCGGCAGUGCCCUAGCGGCGACAACUAUAUCAUGAACAAUUAAAACUUCACGAAAUUGGUGGCCUGGUGACUUAUGCCUGUGCCUAUAUCGCACGCUCUUUUGUGAUGACAAAGAAACAGAUUAUCAUUUUCGGAGGUUAAAUGGAAACAGAUGGAGUGAACCACAUGUAUGUUGUACCAGCAAAACAAUAUUUAAAUCGAUUCGUUGAUGAUUUCCUUGAUAUAAAAUUUGAGGUGUGCUCUACAACACCCCACCCUACCCCCGGAGCUCCUAUUUGGCACGCUAAGCGCUAGCGGUCGAGCCCGUGCGCGUCCCCUUCCCUUGCACACCCAUUUGGGUCGGCCCAUGCGCGGGGCGGGACACGCCGUUUUUAUUUUUUAUUUUUCUUUUAUUUAUUUUUUAAAUAAUUCAGGAUUUCAAAAAGUUUCAAAUUUAAAAAAAAUGUCAACUUUGAAAAAACAAAGAAAUCAUAAAAUGUUCAUGGAUUCAAAAAAUAUCUUGAAUUUGAAAGACAUGUCCGGACAUUCCCAAAAUGUUCAUAAAUUUGAACAAAAUGUUCACAAAUUAAAAAACAUGUUCAGAAAACUAAAUAAAUGAUUCUCAAUUACGAAAAUAUUGAAAAAUCAAAAAAUGUUCGUUGAUUCAAAAAAUGUUAAUUAAUUUCGAAAAAUAUUUGUCAAACAAAUAGUAUUCAUGAAUGUCAAAAAUUGUUCCCAGAUUUCAAAAACUAUUUCUUGUCAAAAAUUAUUCAGCAAUUCAAAUGUCCAUGAGUUUUAAAACAAUGUUUACAAUUUUAAAAAAUUCUUAGAUAUAAAAAAAUGUUUGUGAAUUCAAAAAAUAUUCAAGAUUAAAUUAAAUUCAUGAAUUUUUAAACAUGUUCAUGAAUUUGAAAAAUAAUCACAACAAAACAAUGUUCAUGCAAUUGGAAAAUGCUCACAAUUUAAAUAAUGUUAAAAAUCAUUAAAAAGUUCAUAAAUUUGAAAAUAAGUUCAAAAAAUGAAAGACUGAAAAAAGAAAAGAAAAACUGACAUCAAAAUAGGAAAAUAUAAAUAAGGUAAAAACGAAAACGAAAAAUAGAAAUGAAAUAAUGAAAAUGAAAAAACAAAAAUAACCCGAAAGGAAAAAACUGGUAUGGAAAGGUUCUAGAACGUUCCCAAAACCGAAAAGGAGGUACUUGGGCCGCCCCAAAAUGUGUACCUAGUGGGAGGGGCGUAUGCGCUAGGAUUAGCCCCCUAAAAAGCUUCACAACUUUUGAGCAGAUCAAUGGUCUAGAUUAAAACAUGUCCUUUACUUUAGAAGGGGUAAUAUAAAAAAUUCACAUUAUAAAAACACUUGCAAUAAAAAAGAUAACGGGCGCUCUAGAAACCCAUGGCGGCUAGUGCGACUUGUUUGGAGCUAUUCGUCUCCUUCCCAACCCUUAUCCACUACCCCGGUCGUCCAUGUAUCUGUCAAAAGUGUUAGAUGAAGGAAAUAUGCCCUAUAGGCAAUAAUAAAGUUAUUAUUUAUUUCCUUAUUUCAUGAUAAAUGUUUAUUAUUCAUGCUAGAUUUGUAUUAACCGGAAACAUAAUACAUGUGUGAAUACAUAGACAAACAUAGUGUCACUAGUAUGCCUCUACUUGACUAGCCCGUUAAUCAAAGAUGGUUAAGUUUCCUAACCAUAGACAUGAGUUGUCAUUUGAUUAACGAGAGCACAUCAUUAGGAGAAUGAUAUGAUUGACUUGACCCAUUCCGUUAGCUUAGCACUUGAUCGUUUAGUAUUCUGCUAUUGCUUUCUUCAUGACUUAUACAUGUUCCUAUGACUAUGAGAUUAUGCAACUCCCGUUUACCGGAGGAACACUUUGUGUGCUAUCAAACGUGACAACGUAACUGGGUGAUUAUAAAGGUGCUCUACAGGUGUCUCCGAAGGUACUUGUUGGGUUGGCGUAUUUCGAGAUUAGGAUUUGUCACUCCGAUUGCCGGAGAGGUAUCUCUGGCCCACUCGGUAAUACACAUCACUUAAGCCUUGCAAGCAUUGCAACUAAUGAGUUAGUUGCGGGAUGAUGUGUUAUGGAACGAGUAAAGAGACUUGCCGGUAACGAAAUUGAACUAGGUAUUGAGAUACGGACGAUCGAAUCUCGGGCAAGUAACAUACCGAUGGCAAAGGGAACAACGUAUGUUGUUAUGCGGUUUGACCGAUAAAGAUCUUCGUAGAAUAUGUAGGAGCCAAUAUGAGCAUCCAUGUUCCGCUAUUGGUUACUGACCGGAGACGUGUCUCGGUCAUGUCUACAUAGUUCUCGAACCCGUAGGGUCCGCACGCUUAAAGUUCGAUGACGGUUAUAUUAUGAGUUUAUGGUUUUUGAUGUACCGAAGGUAAUUCGGAGUCCUGGAUGUGAUCACGGACAAGACGAGGAGUCUCGAAAUGUUUGAUACGUAAAGAUCAAUAUAUUGGACGACUAUAUUUGGAUAUCGGAAUGGUUCCGGGUGAGAUCAGGAUAAUACCGGAGCACCGGGAGGUUAUUGGAACCCUCCCCCCCGGAGGUAUAUGGGCCUUAAUGGGCUUUAGUGGAAAGGAGGGAAAAGGAGCAAGGGAGGGGGCGCCCCCCCCCCCCCCAAGCCCAAUCCGAAUAGGGAAGGGGGCCACCCCCCUUUCCUUCCUCCCUCCUUCCUCUUCCUUCCCUCCCCCUCUCCAAAUAGGAAAAGGAGGAGUCCUACUCCCGAUGGGAGUAGGACUCCCCCCUUGGGCGCGCCUCCUCCCCUUGACCAGCCCUCUCCUCCCCUCCUUUAUAUACGGAGGAGAGGGGCACCCCAUAGACAGAACAAUUGAUCUCUUGGAUCUUUUAGCCGUGUGCGGUGCCCCUCUCCACCAUAGUCCACCUCGAUAAUAUCGUAGCGGUGCUUAGGCGAAGCCCUGCGACGGUAGAACAACAUCGUCACCACGCCCUCGUGCUGAUAGAACUCUCCCUCACAGCUCGGCUGGAUAGGAGUUCGAGGGAUGAAACCGAGUUGAACGUGUGCAGAACUCGGAGGUGCCGUGCGUUCGGUACUUGAUCGGUCGGAUCGUGAAGACAUACGACUACAUCAACCGCGUUGUGCUAAUGCUUCCGCUUUCGGUCUACAAGGGUACGCGGACACACUCUCCCCUCUCGUUGCUAUGCAUCACCAUGAUCUUGCAUGUGCGUAGGAAAUUUUUUGAAAUUACUACGUUACCCAACAGUGGUAUCAGAGCCAGGUUUUAUGCGUUGAUGUUAUAUGCACGAGUAGAAAACAAGUGAGUUGUGGGCGAUACAAGUCAUACUGCUUACCAGCAUGUCAUACUUUGGUUCGGCGGUAUUGUUGGAUGAAGCGGCCCGGACCGACAUUACGCGUACGCUUACGCGAGACUGGUUCUACCGACGUGCUUUGCACACAAGUGGCUGGCGGGUGUCAGUUUCUUCAACUUUAGUUGAACCGAGUGUGGCUACGCCCGGUCCUUGAGAAGGUUAAAACAGCACUAACCUGACGAACUAUCGUUGUGGUUUUGAUGCGUAGGUAAGAACGGUUCUUGCUCAGCCCGUAGCAGCCACGUAAAACUUGCAACAACAAAGUAGAGAACGUCUAACUUGUUUUUGCAGGGCAUGUUGUGAUGUGAUAUGGUCAAGACAUGAUGCUAUAUUUUAUUAUAUGAGAUGAUCAUGUUUUGUAAUCGAGUUAUCGGCAACUGGCAAGAGCCAUAUGGUUAUCGCUUUAUUGUAUGCAAUGCAAUCGCCCUGUAAUUGCUCUACUUUAUCACUAGGCGGUAGCGAUAGUCAUAGAAGCAAUAGUUGGCGAGACGACAAUGAUGCUACGAUGGAGAUCAAGGUGUCGCACUGGUGACGAUGGUGAUCAUGACGGUGCUUCGGAGAUUGAGAUCACAAGCACAAGAUGAUGAUGGCCAUAUCAUAUCACUUAUAUUGAUUGCAUGUGAUGUUUAUCUUUUAUGCAUCUUAUUUUGCUUUGAUUGACGGUAGCAUUAUAAGAUGAUCUCUCACUAAAUUUCAAGAUAAAAGUAUUCUCCCUGAGUAUGCACCGUUGCCAAAGUUCGUCGUGCCCAGACACCAUGUGAUGAUCGGGUAUGAUAAGCUCUAUGUCCAUCUACAACGGGUGCAAGCCAGUUUUGCACACGCAGAAUACUCAGGUUAAACUUGACGAGCCUAGCAUAUGCAGAUAUGGCCUUGGAACACCGAGACCGAAAAGUCGAGCUUGAAUCAUAUAGUACAUAUGAUCAACAUAAUGAUGUUCACCAUUGAAAACUACUCCAUUUCACGUGAUGAUCAGUUAUGGUUUAGUUGAUUUGGAUCACAUGAUCACUUAGAUGAUUAGAGAGAUGUCUAUCUAAGUGGGAGUUCUUAAAGUAAUAUGGUUAAUUGGACUUUAAUUUAUCUUGAACUUAGUCCUGGUAGUAUUAGCAUAUCUAUGUUGUAUAUCAAUAGCUCGCGUUUAGCUCCCCUGUUUUAUUUUUGAUAUGUUCCUAGAGAAAACUAAGUUGAAAGAUGUUAAUAGCAAUGAUGCGGAUUGGAUCCGUGAUCUGAGGAUUAUCCUCACUGUUGCACAGAAAUAUUAUGUCCUUGAUGCACCGCUAGGUCACAGACCUAUUGCAGGAGCAGAUGCUGACGUUAUGAACAUUUUGACAAAAGCUCGGUAUGAUGACUACUUGAUAGUUUAGUGCACCAUGCUUUACGACUUAGAACCGGGACUUCAAAAAUGUUUUGAACGCCACGGAGCAUAUAAGAUAUUCCAAGAAUUGAAAUUGGUAUUUCAUACUCAUGCCAGUGUCGAGAGGUAUGAGACCUCUGACAUUACUUUGCCUACAAGAUGGAGGAGAAUAGCUCAACCAGUAAGCAUGUGCUCAGAUUGUCUGAGUACUACAAUCACUUGAAUCAAGUGGGAGUUAAUCUUCUAGAUAAUAUAGUGAUUGACAGAGUUCUCUAGUCACUAUCACCAAGUUGUUAGAACUUCAUGAUGAACUAUAAUAUGCAAGGGAUAACGGAAACGAUUCCCAAGCUCUUCAUGAUGCUGAAAUCGACGAAGGUAAAAAUCAAGAAAAGCAUCAAGUGUUGAUGGUUAACAAGACCACUAUUUUCAAGAAAAGGGCAAAUGGAAUAAGGGGAAUUUCAAGAAGAACGGCAAGCAAGUUGCUGCUCAAGUGAAGAAGCCCAAAUCUAGACCUAAGCCUGAGACUAAGUGCUUUUACUGCAAAGGGACUAGUCACUGGAAGUGGAACUGCCCCAAGUAUUUGGCAGAUAAGAAGGAUGGCAAAGUGAACAAAGGUAUAUUGGAUAUACAUGUUAUUGAUGUGUACUUUACUAGUGUUUAUAGCAACCCCUCAGUAUUUGAUACUAGUUCAGUUGCUAAGAGUAGUAACUUGAAAUGGUAGUUGGACAAUGAACAGAGACUAGUUAAGGGUGGAGCAACGAUGUGUGUUGGAAGUAGUUCCAAGAAUGAUAUGAUCGUCAUCGCACACUCCCUAUACUUUCAGGAUUAGUGUUGAACCUAAAUAAGUGUUAUUUGGUGUUUUCGUUGAGCAUGAAUAUGAUUUGAUCAUGUUUAUUGCAAUACGGUUAUUCAUUUAAGUUAGAGAAUAAUUGUUAUUCUGUUUACAUGAAUAAAACCUUCUAUGGUUAUACACCCAAUGAAAAUGGUUUGUUGAAUCUUGAUUGUAGUGAUACACAUAUUCAUAAUAUUGAAGCCAAAAGAUGCAAAGUUAAUAAUGAUAGUGCAACUUAUUUGUGGCACUGUCGUUUAGGUCAUAUUGGUGUAAAGCGCAUGAAGAAAAUCCAUGCUGAUGGGCUUUUGGAAUCACUUGAAUAUAAAUCAGUUGAUGCUUGCGAACCAUGCCUCAAGGGUAAAGAGGACUAAGACUCCGUUCUCCAGAACAAUGGAGCGAGGAACUGACUUAUUGGAUAUAAUACAUACUGAUGUAUGAGGUCCGAUGAGUGUUGAGGCUCGCGGCGGGUAUCGUUAUUUUCUGACCUUCACAGAUAAUUUGAGCAGAUAUGGGUAUAUCUACUUGAAGAAACAUAAGUCCGAAACAUUUGAAAAGUUUAAAGAAUUUCAGAGUGAAGUGGAAAAUCAUCGUAACAAGAAAAUAAAGUUUCUACGAUCUGAUCGUAGAGGCAAAUAUUUGAGUUACGAGUUUGGUCUUCAAUUAAAACAAUAUGGAAUAGUUUCACAAACUCAUGCCACCUGGAACACCAUAGCGUAAUGGUGUGUCCGAAAGUCAUAACUGUGCUUUAUUUGAUAUAGUGCAAUCUAUGAUGUCUCAUACCGAUUUACCACUAUCAUUUUGGGGUUAUGCAUUAGAGAUAGCUGCAUUCACAUUAAAAAGGGCACCAUCUAAAUCUGUUGAGAUAACACCGUAUGAACUGUGGUUUAGCAAGAAACCUAAGGUGUCGUUUCUUAAAGUUUGGGGUUGCGAUGCUUAUGUGAAAAAGGUUUAUCUUGAUAAGCUCAAACCCAAAUCGAAGAAGUGCGUCUUCAUAGGAUACCCAAAAGUAACUGUUGGGUACACCUUCUAUCACAGAUCCGAAGGCAAGAUAUUUGCUGCUGAGAAUAGAUCCUUUCUAGAGAAGGAGUUUCUCUCGAAAGAAGUGAGUGGGAGGAAAGUAGAACUUGAUGAGGUAACUGUACCUGCUCCCUUAUUGGAAAGUAGUUCAUCACAGAAAUCUGUUUCUGUGACUCCUACACCAAUUAGUGAGGAAACUAAUGAUGAUGAUCAUGUAACUUCAGAUCAAGUUAUUACCAAACCUCUUAGGUCAACCAGAGUGAGAUCCGCACCAGAGUGGUACGGUAAUCCUGUUCUGGAGGUCACGUUAAUUGACCAUGACGAACCUACGAACUAUGAGGAAGCGAUGAUGAGCCCAGAUUCCGCGAAAUGGCUUGAGGCAUGAAAUCUAAUAUGGGAUCCAUGUAUGAGAACAAAGUGUGGACUUUGGUUAACUUGCCCGAUGAUCGGCAAGCCAUAGAAAAUAAAUGGAUCUUCAAGAGGAAGACGGACAGUGAUAGUAGUGUUGCUAUCUACAAAGCUCGAAUUGUCGCAAAAUGUUUUCGACAAGUUCAAGGUGUUGACUACGAUGAGAUUUUCUCACUCGUAUCGAUGCUUAAGUCCGUCCGAAUCAUGUUAGCAAUUGCCGCAUUUUAUGAUUAUGAAAUUUGGCAAAUGGAUGUAAAGACUGCAUUCCUGAAUGGAUUUCUGGAAGAAGAGUUGUAUAUGAUGCAACCUGAAGGUUUUGUCGAUCCUAAAGGUGCUAACAAAGUGAGCAACCUCCAGCGAUCCAUCAAUGGACUGGUGCAAGCUUCUCGAAGUUGGAAUAAACGUUUUGAUAGUGUGAUCAAAGCAUAUGGUUUUAUACAGACUUGCGGUGAAGCCUGUAUUUACAAGAAAGUGAGUGGGAGCACUACAACAUUUCUAAUAAGAAGUGUGAAUGACAUAUUGUUGAUCGGAAAUAAUGUAGAAUUUUCUGGAAAGCAUAAAGAAGUAUUUGAAAUGAGUUUCUCAAAUAAAGACCUCGAUGAAGCUACUUACAUAUUGAGCAUCAAGAUCUAUAGAGAUAGAUCAAGACGCUUGAUAAGUUUUUUCAAUGAGUGCAUACCUUGACAAGAUUUUGAAGUAGUUCAAAAUGGAACAGUCAAAGAAAGAGAUCUUACCUGUGUUACAAGGUGUGAAAUUGAGUAAGACUCAAAGCCCGACCACGGCAGAAGAUAGAAAGAGAAUGAAAGUCAUUCCCUAUGCCUCAACCAUAGUUUCUAUAAAGUAUGCCAUGCUGUGUACCAGAUCUAUUGUAUACCCUACACUGAGUUUAGCAAUGGAAUACAAUAGUGAUCUAGGAGUAGAUCACUGGAUAGCGGUCAAAAUUAUCCUUAGUGGAAUAAGGAAAUAUUUCUCGACUAUGGAGGUGAUAAAAGAGUUCGUCGUAAAGAGUUACGUCGAUGCAAGCUUUUUACAUCGAUCUAGAUGACUCUAAGUCUCGAUCUGGAUACAUAUUAAAAGUGGGAGCAAUUAGCUAGAGUAGCUCCAUGCAAAGCAUUGUUGACACAGAAAUUUUCAAAAUACAUAUGGAUCUGAAUGUGGCAGACCCGUAGACUAAACUUCUCUCACAAGUAAAACAUGAUCACACCUUAGUACUCUUUGGGUGUUAAUCGCAUAGCGAUGUGAACUAGAUUAUUGACUCUAGUAAACCCUUUGGGUGUUGAUCACAUGACGAUGUGAACUAUGGGUGUUAAUCACAUGGUGAUGUGAACUAUUGGUGUUAAAUCACAUGGCGAUGUGAACUAGAUUAUUGACUCUAGUGCAAGUGGGAGACUGAAGGAAAUAUGCCCUAGAGCCAAUAAUAAAGUUAUUAUUUAUUUCCUUAUUUCAUGAUAAAUGUUUAUUAUUCAUGCUAGAUUUGUAUUAACCGGAAACAUAAUACAUGUGUGAAUACAUAGACAAACAUAGUGUCACUAGUAUGCCUCUACUUGACUAGCUCGCUAAUCAAAGAUGGUUAAGUUUCCUAACCAUAGACAUGAGUUGUCAUUUGAUUAACGGGAUCACAUCAUUAGGAGAAUGAUAUGAUUGACUUGACCCAUUCCGUUAGCUUAGCACUUGAUCGUUUAGUAUUCUGCUAUUGCUUUCUUCAUGACUUAUACAUGUUCCUAUGACUAUGAGAUUAUGCAACUCCCGUUUACCAGAGGAACACUUUGUGUGCUACCAAACGUCACAACGUAACAGGGUGAUUAUAAAGGUGCUCUACAGGUGUCUCCGAAGUUACUUGUUGGGUUGGCGUAUUUCGAGAUUAGGAUUUGUCACUCCGAUUGUCGGAGAGGUAUCUCUGGCCCCUCGGUAAUACACAUCACUUAAGCCUUGCAAGCAUUGCAACUAAUGAGUUAGUUGCGGGAUAAUGUGUUAUGGAACGAGUAAAGAGACUUGCCAGUAACGAGAUUGAACUAGGUAUUGAGAUACCGACGAUCGAAUCUCGGGCAAGUAACAUACCGAUGGCAAAGGGAACAACGUAUGUUGUUAUGCGGUUUGACCGAUAAAGAUCUUCGUAGAAUAUGUAGGAGCUAAUAUGAGCAUCCAUGUUCCGCUAUUGGUUAUUGAACGGAGACGUGUCUCAGUCAUGUCUACAUAGUUCUCGAACCCGUAGGGUCCGCACGCUUAAAGUUCGAUGACGGCUAUAUUUUGAGUUUAUGGUUUUUGAUGAACCGAAGGUAAUUCAGAGUCCUGGAUGUGAUCACGGACAAGACGAGGAGUCUCGAAAUGUUCGAGACGUAAAGAUCGAUAUAUUGGACGACUAUAUUUGGAUACCAGAAUGGUUCCGGGUGAGAUCGGGAUAAUACCGGAGCACCGGGAGGUUAUCGGACCCCCCCGGAGGUAUAUGGGCCUUAAUGGGCUUUAGUGGAAAGGAGGUAAAAGGAGAAAGGGAGGGGGCGCCCCCCCCCCCCCAAGCCCAACCCGAACUGGGAAGCCCCCCCCCUUUCCUUCCUCCCUCCUUCCUCUUCCUUCCCUCUCCCUCUCCAAAUAGGAAAAGGAGGAGUCCUACUCCCGGUGGGAGUAGGACUCCCCCCUUGGGCGCACCUCCUCCCCUUGGCCGGCCCUCUCCUCCCCUCCUUUAUAUACGGAGGAGAGGGGCACCCCAUAGACACAACAAUUUAUCUCUUGGAUCUUUUUGCUGUGUGCGGUGCCCCUCUCCACCAUAGUCCACCUCGAUAAUAUUGUAGCGGUACUUAGGCGAAGCCCUGUGACGGUAGAACAUCAACAUCGUCACCACGCCGUUGUGCUGAAGGAACUCUCCCUCAAAGCUCGGCUGGAUCGGAGUUUGAGGGACGUCAUCGAGUUGAACGUGUGCAGAACUCAGAGGUGCCGUGCGUUCGGUACUUGAUCGGUCGGAUCGUGAAGACAUACGACUACAUCAACCGCAUUGUGCUAAUGCUUUCGCUUGCGGUCUACAAGGGUACACGGACACACUCUCCCCUCUCGUUGUUAUGCAUCACCAUGAUCUUGCGUGUGCGUAGGAUUUCUUUUUAAAUUACUAUGUUACCCAACAUUAGACUCCUCCACUUUAUCUUACUCCUCACAUUCCCAUCAUCCGACAUAGUAUGACGACAUCUCAGCCCCUUGUAUUCACAUCACACGGUGUUCAAAUCGCACGAGCCACGAGGCCUUGUUUUUUAAACAGAAGUGGUGUACCCAAGCACCCCUAAUGAAAUUGGCGUUCCCUUGAUCCAAAGAAAAAAAGAGUAAAAAGAAACCAAACACUCCCCCCCCCACAUACACCUCCAGCGUUCCUAUGCACCGAAUUGUACACAACCAAUAGUUUCUACAUUGCUACACAUGAAUGAUGCUUACAGUUGAAAUAAAAGGCAACUCAUUGUCGCUUACAACUAAAUAGCAAAAGGAUACUAGGAGUAGAGUUUGACAUAGGCUAGAGUAAGUGCAUUAUAUAUCCUUAUUUCUGUUUCGCAAUUUUUUUUCCUUAUUUCUAGUGUGUGAUUGCCACCCAAGAUUGCAAUAGAACACCAGGUCAACUGACAAUCCAAUCCCUGGUGUUCUAUUAUAUGUCGAGUUAAAUACUAAAAAGUGCUACUAGGAGUAGAGUAUGAGAUGAACGAGAGUAAGUGCAUUAUGUAUAUCCUCAAUUAUAGUGUGCGGUCACCACCCAAGAUUGCAACAGAACACCAAUUUGGCUGACGAAACCAAUCUAGUCCAAUCGCUUAUUGAACUAAAAGUCGGUAUAUGUACUUAGGAGUUGCCUAACUAAAGCAUGCGGUUCAACUUGAUAGAUCUAGUAAGAUUCAACUCGAUAAUCGUUUAAUUCCUAAUGGUUUCUAUAAAAAAUAGUUACAAUAACUAACUCAAACGAAAUAUAAGCGAACAAUCAAACAUCGACCGGCUCACAUGGCUUCCAAAUAAAACUAAUUAACAGAUCGAGUAAUACAUUGUUUAUUCCUUGCUCUUAAUAUGAGGUUAUACAUAACAUAUUUUGGUCCAUCCUGAAGUAAGUAUUACGUAACAAGUACUAGCUAGUAUUUCAGUCUCUACUAGCAAAUGUUGCAAUAGCAAACAGCCUUGAUGGCGUUCUUCUUAUCACAGUGGUAGUCCUUGAGGCUGCCCUUCCUAUCACGUGCAAACACGUCACACGUGGCCUUGCAUAGAGGCUUGGUGCAGAAAAACUCCCCGCCGUCGUCAACGACCGCGAAAUUGUGCUGCACAACACCAAGAAAACACAAACCAUUAUAUUAGAAUAUUAGCGACAAACCCCCAUUAGAUUAGAUUAUACGUAUUUGACAAACACAAUUAAACACACCUGCAGAAAUAGGAGUACCCACAAGUGUUAGCACCACGAGGAAGCAAACAAUAGCAGCCCGUGUGUCCAUCCCAAGAGUUCUCUCCUUUUUUGAACUAGAAGGAAAAAUAUGUGUUCUCUUCGUCUAUUUUAAUUUGGCUAUGGGACUAAUGUUUAUGUCUUGAAGUGCUUGGAGUGUUGUCUUAUAUAGACUUAUUGAAAGGGACAAAAAUAAAAGCAUUUAAAUGAUUGUUAAACUUAGCAAAAGAGAUAGAGGUGAGUCACACCCCAAAAAUGGAAGCACUUAAUGCUGGGUGAGAAAUUAAAUGACGAAGGCAAAGAAUAUAUGAGUGAUGUUUAUCCAAUAAUCAAGGCUUUAAUUUUCGACUACAAAAUAAGCAUGACCAUUCAAAAAAUGGAGUCAUCUUUUUGUCGCUGGUGACAUUGAUCAAACAUGGUUUUUUAUAAAAAAAAAUGUAUAGCCACUUUAAUUGCAAACACCAUUGUGCAUUGAAAUUCAGUUGACUUCAACAAAACAAUCAAUAUGAAUUGCAUGCUUGAUAUGUAACCAACUAAAACUAAAAUUGUAUGUUGUCUCGAGUUGACUAAAUCACCAUUUUUGGCUAGACAAUGUUUAAAACUGUGUCAACUGUGUCAAUUUGCACGGCGCCUGGGACAAUGCAAUGUCAAAUCUUGCACUAUUUUAAACCACCACAAGAUAAGCAAGCUGAGUUGGCCCGGGCCUCUUGCCAGACGCUGGCAUCCACCUCGAAAUCUAUAUCAAUAUAUUUUUUGUAUCACAUGAAUCAUAUAGUAUUGGUCUAAAAUAUAUUUUCUCUUGUUGCAAAAUAUGAAAGAAAAAUCGGCACAACAAUAUUAUAUAGACCCAUCGCAACAAUAGCAUGCUUCACAGUCGGUGGGUCCCAUGUAAAGACAUUUGGAAAUACCUCAAAAAUGCAUAUGUGUACUAUUUAUUAUUGUCCAAGAAUUUCACAUGCUCACUCACAACAAACUGUUGAAGAAUUCCGUGCAACUUAGAAACUAACGUAUGCAACAACGCGAGCACAACAUUUGUGUUAGGACUAACAAAAUUACAUUACAUUGUAGCAUGUCACACAUGUGUAUGUAGUAUGACGCAAAUGAGUUCACAGCAUACCAAAACAACGAAUGGUAACUACAAAAAAUUCCCAUAAAUCUAACAUUUUACAACCAAAAAAUUUGGUGGGCACUGACCUCACCUCAUCAAACUUGCUCUAAUAUUCUAGUUAGUGUAGAGUUUUGGAUUAAGCUAAAGUUGCUCUAGUAUUAUGCCACAACAAAAAGGAAAGAAAUGGGGGAAAACAAAGAAGAGCGGAGCAGGGUGGCUUACUCGGAUCUAAGUCGGCCAAUAUCAAUCGCAUUGCCCUCCUAAAUCCUGAUUACUCAAGCCAGCCCAAAAUUGAGGGGCUACUAAAAUAGAAGUUGAGCCUAUGGUGCAAGAACAGAAAAGCCAUUGGAUUGGAUAUGGAUAGCACAUGAUCUGGUGGAGCGAUCUCAGGCCACUUUUUGUAUAUUUUAUGAAAAAACCCUAUUAACAGUUAGGUACAAAACAAAACAUUCGCAGUGACCACCUUAAGUAUCUCAUCUCCCAAUCCAAUAGUGGAGUUAACGACCAUUUACAGAUUUCAGGUUUUUUCCAGCGACCAUUUAUAGAAUUUGCACAACCUCAUAUCCUAUCAGUUUUAUAAAAUAUAUUUUCACAUACCGAGCACAAAUAUAUGGUUGUAAGAAUGAAGAACUCAUACUCAUGCUUGUUUUAAUUCUAGUAUUUACACCCCUAAGGUUGUUAAGGUCCGGUUACAAAAACUCGAAUUUAAUUCUCUUAUAAGAACUUGUUAGAGUCCUGUCAUAGUGCACAUCCUCUCGUGGAUUCGAUAACUCAAGGUUGCUCCUUCGGGAAAAGGGAGGGAAACCUUUGUUGUCCAAACCGGAUCUCAAAGAGCACCACCCAUCUCUCACCCUACUCGAUGAUACAACAUCGACGACCAGGUACGUGUGUAACCAACCGUCUGCUCCCUCGCUCUGUCACUGUGGUGCUAUUCAUUACAUCAAGUCGGGACCCAUUUCCUUCCUUUUGAGGUUAACAAUUAAGGUUUCUAGUCUAUAUGAGGGCCUUCGGAUUCAACUUAUAAGAAUGUUAGUUCAAAUUUAAUGAUGAUUAUUUCAAGUGGAUGGUUAUGUGAACUAGGUUGGUAGAGUGGUGGCCGACCACUGUUGCGGCGGACUUCAGGGAUGUUUGAUCUAUCCACCUGGCUUGAUCAAGCAGCGUCGACAUUUGUGCAUCAUUAUUUUGUUGAAUAUGUUCGUUCGAUUUGCUUGUUGCAGGGGUGAUAGCCUCUGGUCCGACGUUUGGUUACACGAGACAAUAAGCUCCCCUUGCAAAAGUGUAUGAUGUGGGAAUUACGUGUUGUACUCCUCAGGUGCAAACGCACGUAUAUAUGAUGUACAGGAGUAGGCCACGACCUCAAUUAUACAAGGCAACUAGGAGGUGGGCCCAAUACACAAAUAUGCACAACAAAGACUGGACCGGAACUCCUCAAAAUGAUGCCGUAGGCAAGUCCUUGGUCAUGGUAUAUGCAAAUUGUUGGGAAGUAGGGACGUGUAAAACACGAAUAUGGCCAAGGGCCACCUAUUCCCGAACAAAAUGAAUAUCCAACUCAAUAUGCUUGGUCCGUCGAUGAUGCACCGGGUUAGCGGAGAGGUAGACUGCCGAGACGUUGUCGCAAUAGACCACCGUGGCACGGUCAACAGGGAAAGAGAGCUCCUGAAGCAGCUGGCGAAGCCACGAACACUCGGCGACGGUGUUGGCCACCGCAGGAUACUCAGCCUCAGCGUUGGAACGAGAGACCGUAGGCUGCCGCGUGGAUGACCACGAGAUAAGUGAGGGUCCAAGGUAGACACAAUAGCCCGAGGUGGAGCGACGAGUUUUAGGGCAGCCCGCCCAGUCUGCAUUGAAGUAGGCGGCGAGGGCAGUGUCGGCGGAGGCAUGAAGCGUGACACCAAGAUCCAUAGUGCCACAGACAUAGCGGAGAAUCCGUUUGACAACGGCCCAGUGCAUCUCGAGGAGCAUGCAUAUGAAGACACACCUGCUGCACGACAUACUGGAUCUCUGGUUGAGUUAAAGUGAGGUACUGAAGAGCACCAACAAUAGACCGAUAAAAAGCAGCAUCCGAAGCAGGAGAACCAUCCGUGGCAGAAAGCUUGGCCUUUGUAUAAACAGGCGUAGCAGCGGGCUUGUAGUUAAGCAUGUUGGCCCGCUCCAGGAGCUCAUGAGCAUACUUCCGCUGAUGAAAGAAGAAGCCAUCCGGACGGCACACCACCUCGACACCGAGGAAGUUGUGCAAAGGACCCAAGUCCUUGAUGGCAAACUCAGCGCGAAGACGAGCCAUGAGCUGACCGAGGAGACCAACCAUACAUGCCGUCAGGAUGACGUCGUCGACAUAGAGCAGAAAGUAGGCCGUGUUAGAGCCCUGAUGAUAGACGAAGAGCGAGGCGUCCGAGCGGGUGGAGCGGAACCCAAGCUGGUGGAGAAACGCUGCGAUGCGCUGGUACCAAGCACGCAGAGCCUUCUUAAGUUCAUACAAGGACCGCGAAAGCAGGCACACGUGGUCGGGAAGCGCCGGGUCAACAAACCCGGUGUGCUGCUGGCAGAAGACCUGCUACUCCAGGUGACCAUGGAGCAAGGCGUUGGAGACGUCCAUCUGGUGCACCGGCCAAGCACGGGAGACUGCAAGGUGGAGAACCGUGUGUAUCGUGUCGGGCUUGACGACCAGAGCGAAGGUGUCGAUGAAGUCGAUGCCAGCACGCUGUCGGAAGCCACGAACGACCCAACGCGGUUUGUAGCGAUCAAAGGUACCAUCGGGACGGAGGUUGUGUUUGAAGACCCACUUCCCGGUAAUCACGUUGGCGUGCUGAGGACAGGAAACAAACAUAGAAGAUUUGACUUUAGAAAAAAAAUAGUACAACUUAUCUAUACCUAAUAUUAAAGGACGGAGAUUUUUAUAGUUCUCCAUACAUCUAACUUUAUUAAUAGUCUUCAUCGGCCCACCGGAGCAAGACAAUAAGUAGGCCUGGAAACACUCGAUUCAAUGGGCCUGAAAAAUAAACGGGCAUGCAUCCUCUCUCGCUCAUCUCUCUCCUCUCGAACCCCUCAUAAAAAAUUUCUCUCCUCUCGAUCCCUUCGCUCUCUACUACGAGCGCUCCUGGGGCAGACAUGUUCUCCCUUCUCUCUACCGCUGCGGAUGGCCCAACUUGACUCCGAGACGAACUCUGCUCGAGCACGCACCCAUAGGGUGUCCCGACAGGUUCUUUGCGGUUCCGCAGGCUGGUCUAGGAACAUAUAGAAACAAAUUGACGCCAUCAAACGAAGCCCCAGCUCAAUUGCCUGGUUGCGGAGUGCGGCGGCAUGUCGAGCCGAACGCCGGCAAGAUCAUACAGGAUGAGGCAGUAGAUGCCAACGAUAGUGUGCGUCACCCAACUCGACGCAGGCGAGGAAGAUGAGCAGGACGGCGUUGGAGCUCAGCAGGGCGCCGACGAGAACGUACGGGAAGAGGCGGUAGACGCCGAUGGCGGUGUAGGUAACCCACCCAGCUCGACGAAGGUGAGGAAGAUGAGUAGGACGGGGGGUAGCCGGGGAUUUGAAGAGGACUCGGAAGGGCUACACGAGCAUGACCAGGUCGUCACUGAAUCGGAUCCGUCACCUCAUGCGGCUGAGCUGUUAGAGGACGAUGCAGAGGCUCUGGUCAAAGGCGACCAUGAUGGAUGUGUCACCGCCGGCCACGCGAUAGAGGAAGAAGGUGAGGCUCAAGAGCCGGCCAGCCGAGUGGACGUGCCGGUGCAGUUGUGACCGCUCGGGAGGUUGAAGGCAAGCGAGGGAGCUCAUGCGGCGACGUCGGCAAGGCUCGGUGGCGAGAUAGCGCAGAAGAGCGGUGCAGCGGAGCGACAACCACGAUGCUAGGGCGUUGCGGAGAGAAAGGAUGAAGAGAGAUAGGGCAAGGGAGUCCUACUGCUGGUGGAGGCACGCAGGAGGAGCUCGAGCAUCAGUUGGCGGGCGAAGCAAGGAGUCGCAGGGCUUUCCAGCGACUAUGAUGGUGCGGGUUGAUCUGGGGAGGCUGGGAGAGCUGCCUCCUAGGGGCGCUGGUUCGGGUUGACGUGUGCGUCAUGUGCACUGCUACAAAAUUGCUGGAUAUGUGUAUCUAUAUGUGUGCGGCUGCGAUUUGAAAGUCGUAGCAAUGCACAGGCUUAUAAUUAAAUAAUUAUAUAUCUUUACUUGUUCAGUAGCAACACAUGCUAGCAAGCAGCAGAGACAGUAUACUAUGUUGGCGAUCAUUUGGCGAGCGAGCAGUUGAAUUGCUGCUGGCAUGCAUUGUGCAGGGGCAUGUUCGCUUGGGUCUUGGGACGAAAUCGACUGAGUCAAUAAAUAAUUUUUUAAAAGGAUAUUAGACCCUCGGCCUCUGCAUCAUUCAUUAUGAUGCACACAAAUAUUUUUAGCAAAGUUAGCCAUGGGUCGAACCAUUAGAUAUCAAAUAGACAUCUACAACUAAGUCGACUUCUGCUGCAACAUCUCUUCAAGAAGGGAUAAACUUUCUCGCCAUCGACCGAAACAAUCCGUAAGAAGAAGAAAAUGAUCACACAUGUGAAACAUAAUUGUCAAUACAAAUACAUGACACAUGGUGGUACGAACACACAUCACGAUGGAAGAAUACCAGCAACUUAAAAGCAAGCCUACAUCAAAUCUAUAUUUCAUUAGUAUUUAGUCCAUAUUUUUAUUUCUAUCAACCUAAACUCCAAUUACGUUAAAAUUUAGGUUUGAACUGCAGAUAUGAGAUUUCGAAUUUAAAGAUUGAACGUAUAUUUAAAGUUCUCAUAGUAUGUGUCUAUUUUUUGGGGUGUCUUUUUACUCGAUAGGAAUCCAAUUCAAUGCUCAAAAUCAAAUAACAAGAUUAUUGCUACAUAUUUUGAUAAAGCUAAAUUUUACUUGAAUUUUGGAUGUAGUUUAGACAAAUAAUUCUCACUAAAUCUUACUAUGGGCCAAUUUUUCUCUACCGUUGCAACACACCGGAUCGAGAGUUUCCAAGAAAACAUUGUCAGUCAGAUGCAUUUACUCCAGAUCAUAACUCAUGUCCUAAGCUUCACGUCGUGAUCCUCAAAUCAUGCAUCUUUUUAUUUUCUCAUCAUCAACCGUUGUGACAUGACACAGUUCCUCGACCUGGCCAACCAUGGUUCAUAGGAACUGGUAUAUUUCUCCCGCUGCAACGCACGGGCAUUCGUGCUAGUAUUUUGAAACGGGAGUUAGUAGGUACACCAAUAAUUCGAUAUACCCACAAAAUGCUGGCUCUAGUUCCUUUCAUGGCUCCUUUGAUGUAAGAAAGAUGCUAGUAGUGACUAGAGACAAAGGGAAUCAAAUUAUGGGAGGAGGCGGCCCUAUCUAUAUUCCUCUUCUCCAAGCGGUAGCUCCCGUCCAUCCUUUGCCAAAAGUGGAGCAUCUCUCAUUUCCUUCUUCAUCUUCUCCUCCUCCUCCUUUCUUGAUGCUCACUCGCCUAUAAAUAGCUCUCGCUGCCUGCCAUUGUUACUCAAGCUAGCAAGCAAGAAGCACAAAAGAAGCCAACACCAAUCAAGGCCUCCAUCCAAUCCCAAGCAACCUCGAAGAUGUCUUGCUGCGGAGGAAGCUGCGGCAGCGCCUGCAAGUGCGGCAACGGCUGCGGCGGCUGCAACAUGUACCCCGAGGUCGAGGCCGCCGGCGCCACCCUCCUCGUCGCCGCCACCGCCACCCACAAGGCGUACGUCCCUUCUCUUUCCUCAUACAUCAUGCGCCUCGCUGUAAUAUGACUAUAUAUGUUGAUCUUGCUAUGGGACUAAGGAUGGAUGGAUGGGUGCAGGAGCUCCGGCGGGAUGGAGAUGGCGGCGGAGAAUGGCGGCUGCGGCUGCACCCAGUGCAAGUGCGGCACCAGCUGCGGCUGCUCCUGCUGCAGCUGCUAGAUCAUUGAUCAUCGAUCAUGCAUGCACCGCGCGCAUGCAUCAUAUCUAUGAUCGAUCCAUCCAUCCAUCUAGUACCAUGUAACGCUACCUGAUCGAGGGUCUUUGUAUGUAUGUAAGCACCUGCCAGCAUGAGCAGAGCAGGUGCACUCCCAUGCAUGUAAACCGACCCCUAAAUAAAAUCUCCCGUGGUUUAACCUAUACAUGUGUUUGUGUUAUAGACCAGCUUCUGGCCCAUGUUUACUAUCAACUUGCGAGGUGC
RNAcentral lists this long non-coding RNA (25223 nucleotides) under Triticum aestivum (bread wheat). RNAcentral's name for it is "long non-coding RNA (TAES_LNC026544)". The record is from RNAcentral. Lineage: Eukaryota; Viridiplantae; Streptophyta; Magnoliopsida; Poales; Poaceae.